This 429-nucleotide ribosomal RNA is filed under the name Acidobacteriota bacterium. RNAcentral's name for it is "Acidobacteria bacterium partial 16S ribosomal RNA". It matches the Rfam family "Bacterial small subunit ribosomal RNA", at positions 355 to 776 of the family's 1533-position model. Lineage: Bacteria; Pseudomonadati; Acidobacteriota. The record is from RNAcentral.
UGGGGAAUUUUGGACAAUGGGGUAAACCCUGAUCCAGCCAUCCCGCGUGUGCGAUGAAGGCCUUCGGGUUGUAAAGCACUUUUGGCAGGAAAGAAACGUCAUGGGUUAAUACCCCGUGAAACUGACGGUACCUGCAGAAUAAGCACCGGCUAACUACGUGCCAGCAGCCGCGGUAAUACGUAGGGUGCAAGCGUUAAUCGGAAUUACUGGGCGUAAAGCGUGCGCAGGCGGUUCGGAAAGAAAGAUGUGAAAUCCCAGAGCUCAACUUUGGAACUGCAUUUUUAACUACCGGGCUAGAGUGUGUCAGAGGGAGGUGGAAUUCCGCGUGUAGCAGUAAAAUGCGUAGAUAUGCGGAGGAACACCGAUGGCGAAGGCAGCCUCCUGGGAUAACACUGACGCUCAUGCACGAAAGCGUGGGGAGCAAACAGG